This 253-nucleotide ribosomal RNA is filed under the name uncultured bacterium. RNAcentral's name for it is "partial 16S ribosomal RNA". It matches the Rfam family "Bacterial small subunit ribosomal RNA", at positions 524 to 776 of the family's 1533-position model. The record is from RNAcentral.
UACGUAGGGGGCAAGCGUUGUCCGGAUUUAUUGGGCGUAAAGAGCGUGUAGGCGGCCUGACAGGUCUGCUGUGAAAACUCGAGGCUCAACCUCGAGAUGUCGGCGGAAACCGUCUGGCUAGAGUCCGGAAGAGGAGAGUGGAAUUCCUGGUGUAGAGGUGAAAUUCGUAGAUAUUCGCAAGAACACCAGUGGCGAAGGCGGCUCACUGGCCCGGUACUGACGCUGAGGCACGAAAGCGUGGGGAGCAAACAGG